GACGAACCGUGCGAACGUUGUUCGGAUUCACUGGGCUUAAAGGGCGCGUAGGCGGCUUGCCAAGUCAGGGGUGAAAUCUUUCGGCUCAACCGGAAAACAGCCCCUGAUACUGGCGGGCUGGAGGGAGGUAGGGGCGGAUGGAACUUCCGGUGGAGCGGUGAAAUGCGUAGAUAUCGGAAGGAACGCCGGUGGCGAAAGCGAUCCGCUGGACCUCUUCUGACGCUGAUGCGCGAAAGCGUGGGGAGCAAACAGG
Molecule: ribosomal RNA, 253 nt
Filed under: uncultured bacterium
Lineage: Bacteria
Description: partial 16S ribosomal RNA
Rfam family: Bacterial small subunit ribosomal RNA
Source: RNAcentral